GUGGGGAAUUUUGCGCAAUGGGCGAAAGCCUGACGCAGCAACGCCGCGUGGAGGAUGAAGGUCUUCGGAUUGUAAACUCCUGUCAGUGGGGAAAAAGGGGAACGGGCUCAUACCCCGUUUCAUUGAUUGUACCCGCAGAGGAAGCCCCGGCUAACUCUGUGCCAGCAGCCGCGGUAAUACAGAGGGGGCAAGCGUUAUUCGGAAUUAUUGGGCGUAAAGGGCGCGUAGGCGGCCCUUCAAGUGGUAGGUGAAAUCCCUCGGCUCAACCGAGGAGCUGCCCGCCAAACUGAAGAGCUUGAGUCCGGGAGAGGUGAGUGGAAUUCCCAGUGUAGCGGUGAAAUGCGUAGAUAUUGGGAGGAACACCAGUGGCGAAGGCGGCUCACUGGACCGGAACUGACGCUGAGGCGCGAAAGCGUGGGGAGCAAACGGGAUUAGAUACCCGAGUAGUCC
This 450-nucleotide ribosomal RNA is filed under the name uncultured bacterium. RNAcentral's name for it is "bacterial SSU rRNA". It matches the Rfam family "Bacterial small subunit ribosomal RNA", at positions 354 to 796 of the family's 1533-position model. The record is from RNAcentral.